CAUUCACACUCGCAUUCACAGCUGUUAUUCGCAAUGACAACCAAAUGAAAAAUUUUAAGACGUGCAACGCCCUAAAAACCAAAAAAUUCCAAGUCAAAGUCCCUUGGUACAUUUUCUUAAGGCAUGAACGCCAUUAUACCGAUCAUUUGCGUAAUUUACGCAAACGUCUUCUCAAUAGAUGCUUACCUUGUACCGGGAGCAUUUGGGGGAGAGUGUUAUGAAAUAAUUUUUCCCGUUCUAAAAAACCACAAUCUCUUCAACUACCAUAAACUACAGAAGAUGAUUGUGGACGUUAAUAACAAUGCGCAGAAAUUAUGGUCGGAGGUGGAGGACGAUUUAAUCGAUACCUUUGAUGAUGAUGUUGCAUACUGGAAUCGUAUGAUUACAGGUACUGCAGCUUUGCACUUCAGCGCCAGGCAAAAGAGGAUUGCGUAUCGAUUUGUUUGUAGGACGCUAUUUUAUAGUGCAAUAAUCUACAUCACUCGGGUAAGGGUCAAAAAGUCGAUGGCCAAGAAGUGAAAAUUGCAGUCACGAGUGCCAAUUUCCUUGAGAAAAUGGUCAAAGGUCUCGAUAGACAAAAACAAUUUAUUUUAUCGCUUUACACGAAGAAGGAAAUACCUACGCAUCUCCACUAGUUCUGGAUAUUACUAGAAAAGUACAUGAACGUUGCGCAGAAUGUUAAUAUUAAAUUGUUUGUUAUCAAUAAAUCAAUAAAUUGUAGAUUAUA
Photinus pyralis (common eastern firefly) is the source of this 727-nucleotide RNA transcript. RefSeq lists it as uncharacterized. Lineage: Eukaryota; Metazoa; Arthropoda; Insecta; Coleoptera; Lampyridae. The transcript has 5 exons. The record is from RefSeq and is a predicted model, not a curated record.